Molecule: long non-coding RNA, 1065 nt
Filed under: Pogona vitticeps (central bearded dragon)
Lineage: Eukaryota; Metazoa; Chordata; Lepidosauria; Squamata; Agamidae
Description: lncRNA (ENSPVIG00000025081.1)
Source: RNAcentral
UUAUUAAGUGGAAUUGCUGAUUAAACGGUCCGAUUAUGAGGGAAAAUCCAUCCCCUUUUCCUGCUGGGAAAGAGGGUGGGGGAAAAGAUAGCAGGAGCGGCCGGGCUGGGUGGAAUCCCUUCACAGUGGAAGAUGCUGGGCUUCCCUGUACUAUUUGUUAGAUGGAGAUGAGAAGAUGUGAAAUGUUAAUAUUCUGAACAUGCAGUGUUAAUAUUAAUGCUAUACAGGUACAUCGGAAAGAGAAUGGCUAAACAAGAGAACUUGAAGCAUUCACUGAUUUUACACAUCACAUUUCCAGAUAUUGGGUGAAUUUCUUCCAGUUUGUCCCUGUUUCGCUCCAGUCUUCAAUCACCCAUGAUUUUGAGAGCUGAAAGCAACUUUUCCAAGUUUUGGUAUUUCCUCCAAUGUCUUGAAGACACUUCCAAUGCUUUGCUUGCCAGGGAGAAAGCUAGGAUAAUCUCUUCCUAUCCCAUGCACAGAAGCUCACCAGACAGAGUCACUGAGAAAUGAUGUGACUGUUACUUAGAGAAAUGAUUCUUGCUGUCAGGCCUGGGAAAAACUACAGUGAGCUGUCCAUGGUCCUGUUUGGCAGACAUGCAGAGGAUCCAGGCGACACAGACGAGUACAGAUCUAGCGAUAUUAACAAAUGAUGGCAGAAUGUAACAUUCAGAGCCAUAAGUACAUGGCUGGGCUGGACAUCAGAACCAAAUGUUGUCAAUAUGAGUCCCUGAGAUUAUGAGUUAUUAUUUCAGGGGAAAACUUUAAAAGUUUAUGCCAAAAGAAGACUGGAAGAUACACAAUUUUUGGGAGAAAAUGCUAAUGUUUUAGGUAGAAUUAAAGAAACAUUUUGAACCUUGGAGUUCAUAGCCUGAGUUUAUUCAUGUCAAUGAGAUCUCCUCUGGAAUGCACAUGUUGUUCCAGCUGUGAGGUCAAUUCAAGAAUAAGAGUGACCUUUAACCAUUCCUCUAAUUUAGGGAAGGCACUAUCAGAGUUCCCCAACUCUGUCAUCCCAUAUCUCAUGCUGUGAAGGCUUAAAUAAUAAAGGGAUAAUGUCCGCAGAGAACA